GUUCUUGUAGGGGAAACACUGACAUUACAAAAUGCUUUCCCAUGGGGAGGUUCAUCCACUACUCUCUGAUGUGCUCACUUCCGCUGUUUUCCACAAAUGAGGUAAACUCAAGCACACAGUUUGUGAUAGUGAAGGCUGCAUUCACACUCUUAUGGUAAUGACAAACUGAGCUGCCUUCA
This 179-nucleotide small nuclear RNA is filed under the name Mesocricetus auratus (golden hamster). Its description in RNAcentral is "U1 spliceosomal RNA (ENSMAUG00000003583.1)". Lineage: Eukaryota; Metazoa; Chordata; Mammalia; Rodentia; Cricetidae. The record is from RNAcentral.